This 253-nucleotide ribosomal RNA is filed under the name uncultured bacterium. RNAcentral's name for it is "partial 16S ribosomal RNA". It matches the Rfam family "Bacterial small subunit ribosomal RNA", at positions 524 to 776 of the family's 1533-position model. The record is from RNAcentral.
UACAGAGGGUGCGAGCGUUAAUCGGAAUUACUGGGCGUAAAGCGUGCGUAGACGGUAGCGUAAGUCAGAUGUGAAAGCCCCGGGCUCAACCUGGGAAUUGCAUUUGAGACUGCUCUGCUCGGGUGCGGAAGAGGGAAGCGGAAUUUCCGGUGUAGCGGUGAAAUGCGUAGAUAUCGAGAGGAACACCAGUGGCGAAGGCGAGUCCCUGGACAGGUCCUGACGCUGAGGCACGAAAGCUAGGGGAGCAAACAGG